Podarcis lilfordi (Lilford's wall lizard) is the source of this 105-nucleotide non-coding RNA. NCBI's taxonomy places the organism in Eukaryota, Metazoa, Chordata, Lepidosauria, Squamata, Lacertidae. The record is from the annotation of a GenBank genome assembly.
CUUCCAGUAGCACCUUAGAGACCAACUAAGUUUGUUAUUGGUAUGAGCUUUCAUGUAGCUCAUACCAAUAACAAACUUAGUUGGUCUCUAAGGUGCUACUGGAAG